This 562-nucleotide ribosomal RNA is filed under the name Pseudogymnoascus pannorum. RNAcentral's name for it is "eukaryotic LSU rRNA". The stretch from base 202 to 355 matches the Rfam family "5.8S ribosomal RNA". Lineage: Eukaryota; Fungi; Ascomycota; Leotiomycetes; Thelebolales; Thelebolaceae. The record is from RNAcentral.
GUAGGUGGAACCUGCGGAAGGAUCAUUACAGUAGUCGCCCGGGUUGCCGCAAGGCCUCCCGGGUAACCUACCACCCUUUGUUUAUUACACUUUGUUGCUUUGGCAAGCCUGCCCUCGGGCUGCUGGCUCCGGCCGGCGAGCGCUUGCCAGAGGACCUAAACUCUGUUUGUUUAUACUGUCUGAGUACUAUAUAAUAGUUAAAACUUUCAACAACGGAUCUCUUGGUUCUGGCAUCGAUGAAGAACGCAGCGAAAUGCGAUAAGUAAUGUGAAUUGCAGAAUUCAGUGAAUCAUCGAAUCUUUGAACGCACAUUGCGCCCCCUGGUAUUCCGGGGGGCAUGCCUGUCCGAGCGUCAUUACAACCCUCAAGCUCAGCUUGGUGUUGGGCCCCGCCGCCCCGGCGGGCCCUAAAGUCAGUGGCGGUGCCGUCCGGCUCCGAGCGUAGUAAUUCUUCUCGCUCUGGAGGUCCGGUCGUGUGCUCGCCAGCAACCCCCAAUUUUUUUCAGGUUGACCUCGGAUCAGGUAGGGAUACCCGCUGAACUUAAGCAUAUCAAUAAGCGGAG